Molecule: ribosomal RNA, 497 nt
Filed under: uncultured bacterium
Lineage: Bacteria
Description: partial 16S ribosomal RNA
Rfam family: Bacterial small subunit ribosomal RNA
Source: RNAcentral
GAUGAACGCUGGCGGCGUGCCUAAUACAUGCAAGUCGAGUGAACAGACGAUGAGCUUGCUCCUCUGACGUUAGCGGCGCGCGUGUGAGUAACACGUGUAUAACCUACCUAUAAGUCUGGUAUAACUUCGGGAAACCGGAUCUUAUACCGUAUAAUAUAUUGAUCCGCAUUGUUCAAUAGUGAAUUACGGUUUUUCUGUCUCUUAUAGAUGGAUCUCGGCCGCAUUAGCUAGUUGUUAAGUUAACGGCUUAUCAAGGCAACGAUGCGUAGACGAACGGAGAGGGGGAUAGGCCACAUUGGAACUGAGACAGGGACAAGAGGACUAAGGGAGGCCGCAGACGGGAACGUUACGCAAUGGGGGAGAGCAUGACGGAGCAACCGCGAGUGAGUGACGAAGGUCUUGGGAUCGUAAAAAUCUGUUACUAGGGAAGAACAAAUGUGUAAGUAAAUAUGCACGUAUUGACGGUAACUAAUAAGAAAGCAACGGCUAACUACGUG